Molecule: ribosomal RNA, 331 nt
Filed under: uncultured eukaryote
Lineage: Eukaryota
Description: partial 18S ribosomal RNA
Rfam family: Eukaryotic small subunit ribosomal RNA
Source: RNAcentral
CCCUUAGAUGUUCUGGGCCGCACGCGCGCUACACUGACGAAGUCAGCGAGCAUGUCCUACGCCGACAGGUGCGGGGAAUCUUGUCAAACUUCGUCGUGAUGGGGAUUGAUUAUUGAAAUUCUUGAUCAUCAACGAGGAAUUCCUAGUAAGCGCAAGUCAGCAGCUUGCGUUGAUUACGUCCCUGCCCUUUGUACACACCGCCCGUCGCUACUACUGAUUGAAUGGUUUAGUGAGAUCUUCGGAUUGGCGCCACUGCGGCUCAGCAAUGGGCUCGGUGGAUGCCGAAAAGUUGAUCAAACUUGAUCAUUUAGAGGAAGUAAAAGUCGUAACA